CAUCCGAUCCAAGAGGGACAAUGUCGGAAAGAUAUCAAACAGAAUGGCACGGUGUGUGAAAGCGCUUGUCGCACAAGGCGCUCGAACGCCUUUUCAUUUCACAGUAACGCUAUUAAAACUGUAUUCCUCCGGCUUCUGCUAAGUGGCGAAAGCCUAGUUAACUUACUGGAACUUACUGGAACUUACCUUUCCGUCUCCGCUGCCACCGCCGCCGCUCCCCGGGCCGCCUUCAACACCCGAGACCGCCGCCGGACCUCCAGAGGGCCGCGGAGCUCGGAGAGGAGAAGCCGAGAAGGGUCCAGCUACUACCAGGGAGACGAAGAGCCAACUGCACCGAGGCCCCGGGCCUUGUGUGUCCUCGAAGUAGCGUUAGGGGAGGGAUACCGAGUCUCAGCCUUCCGCCGUUUGACAGGGACUCGGGAAUACCUUUUUGACAGCUCCUCUUCUUCAGCCCCCCCCUCCCCUCGACAGCCCUUCACUUUUCUCUUUUUCCUCACUUCCAGCAGAUACGAAUCAAAAUACUGUCACAGAAUAUGGCGGCUGCAUAAGCAAGCUACUAUCGCGAGAAGAAGAGUUGUUUUUCUUUUUUCAGCUUCCCAAAAGUUGUGCUGAGGGAGGGAGGAGAAAGUUGUGAUUGCAAAAUGAGCAGAGUAGCCUGCUGCUGCAGAAGAUGCAAACAAAGGGGAAAAACAAGACUCAGUUGAUGUUUUCAGAACCAGGUCAAGGUUAUUAUACUUAAAGUCCUCCUCCAGUCAAAAGUAUGUUUUUCUUCUUAUUCCUACAGUGUUUGAGCUUCACUGUGCAGAAUGAUGUAUGUGCAGAGCUGGACACUAGAAGGAUGUUUUCACAUUAAAGCAUAGAAAACAUUAAAGUCAAAAAAAUCCUAACAUUUAUGUACAAUGUAUAUAUGUACAAUAUUCCUAUUCUUUAACAACGAAAGCAUUGUUAACAGUUUUGUGCAGAAAUGUCCAAAAAUGCUGCCCAGGGUUUUUUAAGGUGACUGGAAUGAAAACUAUGCAGGAAAAGUUAGAUAAUUAAACAAUACUAGUCUGACUGUUGGGAUAGUGCCUACAAUGUCAAUGAUAUACGAUAUUGAUCUAGUUUACAAGUUGAAGAUCAGAGGUCAGUUACAGAGCACCCACCCUGAAGAUAGUAGUAGGCAUUCAUUGUGUUGCUGAAGGACACCUCGGCAGGGGAGUGACCCUCCAGCCGAAGGACCAAUCCAGUGGAAUGACCUUUAAGCAGGAAUUCUUACUGCUGGAGUCGGCAAAUGCUAGAUUUUUCAACAUUUUUAGUCUCAGUGUUAUGGAUUCAAAGCAAAUUCUGGAGCUACUGAGAGACAACUCUCUUUCUGCUGGAACUGGCAAGGAAAAUGGUCUGUUUGCUGUCUGUCUGGUUCACAGUGAACAGACCAGCCAGGUUGGUAGCCAUGUCUAAUUGGCCAAAAUCACAAAGUAGGGCUGGCAGAUAGCAGUUUCUUCUUAUCAUUCACUGACACCUUGUAGAUUCGCUAUUUUUGGCCAAACAGAAUUUUGGUGUGGGGUAUUAACACUUCUCCACCCAAAGAAAACAACACAUUUCAUACUGGAGUGUGAAACACAAACUGUCUAGUUUACAGCAGCGUGUUAGUGCUCUGUCCAGAGAGAGAAACUAUCAUAGAGUUUCUGCCUUUGUUGUCCUUUAGUGUGAAAUGCUCUCAGAGGAGAUUGGUAUAGGGUUAGUAGAGCAUGUUGCAUGUAGUCUUUAAAGUUCAGUCUGUUGUCUUCUCUGACUCAAAAUGAACACAUCUCUUUUGCUCAGCAGAUACUGUGGAUCUUGUUGGUGCUAACUGCAAGUGAUCAGAACAUCUGUGAGCGCCUUCAUAGGGAUUGAAAUGACUCAUUCAUCUACAGAAGGCUAGGAUGGAAAGACUUGCAAUUUAUAUUUAAUGCCGUUAUAUUGACAUCAUGAGUUGAUUUAUCUUGUUAUCUUAAGAAAACAAAAGGCAGAUUUCUCGAGAUGAAGAGAUCAUUUUAAAAAAAAAUUUGUUUUCCUGAGAUCACAGGAUGAUUAUAGAGAACUUCAAAAUGAGCGUCUGGUUCAUCAGCCUUCAGGAUUACUGUUGCAACUGUUGGGGGGAUUCAUAACUAAACUGAAAAAGUUGUUACCAGAGUGUAGCUAUAUCUGAGAGUUCAUUUAAGGUAUUCAAUUCCUGGCAAUGUGAUGCAAUACUGACAAACAAUAUGCAUAUUAUAUGUAAUAUAUUAAAGAUGGAGAUUUAUUAAAUGAGCUCAAAGAUC
This is a long non-coding RNA of Dicentrarchus labrax (European seabass), 2279 nucleotides long. RefSeq lists it as uncharacterized. The transcript is spliced from 2 exons. NCBI's taxonomy places the organism in Eukaryota, Metazoa, Chordata, Actinopteri, Moronidae. The record is from RefSeq and is a predicted model, not a curated record.